Long non-coding RNA from Paramisgurnus dabryanus, 1344 nucleotides. RefSeq lists it as uncharacterized. Lineage: Eukaryota; Metazoa; Chordata; Actinopteri; Cypriniformes; Cobitidae. The record is from RefSeq and is a predicted model, not a curated record.
UCCUUUACUUGUCAGACGGCUCUGUUGUUGUUGUGGGAGCUCAACUGAGGAGAUUUGAUUUACAAGACGAAGAGAUAAAACAUGAAUAUGACAAACUACUUUACAAGAAAAGACGGAUUUGUAACAGUCAACAGUUCAGUUAGAGGACGAAAAUCCCGAGCAUCUGAAACAUAUUUACCUGACUGAAAAGAAACGAUUAGAUGAAGAAGAAGAAGAGGAGAGAAAGAAGAAGAGAUGGAAAGAAAGAGAGAGCAGUGGAUGAAGAGGAGAAACUCAAACACAACACCUGACAUCUCUGCUGACCCAACUCAUUCAUGUCAUGAAACAGAAAUCACAACACAAUCUGAAAGAUAAACCUCACAAAAUUAUGACUGUUUAUUAUUAUCUGUUUUUCAUUUGUAUUAUUUUAAAAUUGUGUUUUGUGUUUUAUUGUUGUGUAGCUUUAUUGAAUGAAAACACAGAAGAUAAUGAGAAGAUAAAGAAGGAGCUGAGAGGAUAAAAAGAGGAAUUCAAGACAAAACUCCAAGAAGAGUGAACUCGAGCUCAAUCUACAGAUGAAUCUGUUACUGCAGAAGAUCCAAACUCAACACAAAUCAUUCAAUAGCAGUAAGACUCAAAACCCUCAGGUUUAAAUUGUUUAAAACAUUGUGAUGUUGAAAUGCACCUUCACACAAGAAACUGUGCUGUUUAGACGGCCGUUUAAAUAAAACCACAUUUAUGUACAGUAUGAUGCUCUCUGAUAUUUUAUUUAUACUCUUGUCCAACCAGUCAUAAAAAUAAAGUACAUUUGUAACUUCUCUAUAAAAGCAAAGCAUGUGAUAUUCAAUAAAAAACUAUUUGAGAUAUCAAUAAAUCAUCAGGCACUGUAGCUUUAGUAGCAAAAUUUGAUCACUUAUAUGAUUUUAAGCUGUAAUAUGAUUUCAUGACAUGAGACAGUGGGUGUGGUUAUUGAGUCACACAGUCCCUCCCACUUUGUUUGGCUCCUCCCCCACAUCAUCAUAAUCUGUUGUGUAAAACAAAGCACAUUCAUAUUCUAUUUAUAUUAUAACUGUAUGAAGAUUUUAAACUGAACUAUUUAAAAAGAUAAUAUAUAAAGGUAAAAUAUAUUAUAAUAUACAUCUUUAAAUGAGAUCUAGAGGUUAAUAACCUACCUAACAUGUUUGUCACAUCUUCAUUGUCAUUCUUCACAUCAUCAUACUCCUCCUGAACUCCCUCUGAUGAAGUCACAUGACAAACAACUCAUAUUGUGAUUUGUAAUACAUCAUGUCUCAUGUCAUAGAUACAUUUCUCUUUCUGACACUAACUGAUAACAGCUGAUAAAGUCACAAUGACUGGAUUAAUGCU